This 531-nucleotide ribosomal RNA is filed under the name uncultured bacterium. Its description in RNAcentral is "bacterial SSU rRNA". It matches the Rfam family "Bacterial small subunit ribosomal RNA", at positions 256 to 803 of the family's 1533-position model. The record is from RNAcentral.
GGUAACGGCCCACCAAGGCGACGAUCAGUAGCCGGCUUGAGAGAGUGGACGGCCACAUUGGGACUGAGACACGGCCCAAACUCCUACGGGAGGCAGCAGUGGGGAAUAUUGCACAAUGGGGGAAACCCUGAUGCAGCGACGCCGCGUGAGUGAAGAAGUAUUUCGGUAUGUAAAGCUCUAUCAGCAGGGAAGAAAAAAGACGGUACCUGACUAAGAAGCCCCGGCUAACUACGUGCCAGCAGCCGCGGUAAUACGUAGGGGGCAAGCGUUAUCCGGAAUUACUGGGUGUAAAGGGUGCGUAGGUGGCAUGGUAAGUCAGAAGUGAAAGCCCGGGGCUUAACCCCGGGACUGCUUUUGAAACUGUCAUGCUGGAGUGCAGGAGAGGUAAGCGGAAUUCCUAGUGUAGCGGUGAAAUGCGUAGAUAUUAGGAGGAACACCAGUGGCGAAGGCGGCUUACUGGACUGUCACUGACACUGAUGCACGAAAGCGUGGGGAGCAAACAGGAUUAGAUACCCUGGUAGUCCACGCCGC